GACGAACGCUGGCGGCGUGCCUAAUACAUGCAGGUAGAACGCACAGUUUAUACCGUAGCUUGCUACACCAUAAACUGUGAGUUGCGAACGGGUGAGUAACGCGUAGGUAACCUGCCUGGUAGCGGGGGAUAACUAUUGGAAACGAUAGCUAAUACCGCAUAAUAUUGAUUAUUGCAUGAUAAUUGAUUGAAAGAUGCUAUUGCAUCACUACCAGAUGGACCUGCGUUGUAUUAGCUAGUAGGUGAGGUAACGGCUCACCUAGGCGACGAUACAUAGCCGACCUGAGAGGGUGAUCGGCCACACUGGGACUGAGACACGGCCCAGACUCCUACGGGAGGCAGCAGUAGGGAAUCUUCGGCAAUGGACGAAAGUCUGACCGAGCAACGCCGCGUGAGUGAAGAAGGUUUUCGGAUCGUAAAGCUCUGUUGUAAGAGAAGAACGGGUGUGAGAGUGGAAAGUUCACACUGUGACGGUAUCUUACCAGAAAGGGACGGCUAACUACGUG
Molecule: ribosomal RNA, 505 nt
Filed under: uncultured bacterium
Lineage: Bacteria
Description: partial 16S ribosomal RNA
Rfam family: Bacterial small subunit ribosomal RNA
Source: RNAcentral